Fukomys damarensis (Damara mole-rat) is the source of this 627-nucleotide long non-coding RNA. RefSeq lists it as uncharacterized. NCBI's taxonomy places the organism in Eukaryota, Metazoa, Chordata, Mammalia, Rodentia, Bathyergidae. The transcript is spliced from 3 exons. The record is from RefSeq and is a predicted model, not a curated record.
CAGUGAAGCUGUGCAGAAAUCCAAGAGGUUGCCUUGGUGUCAGCUGACCCUGAGACAUGAGCCAGCCAUACAGGAAAGCUCCAUCUUUCCAGGUGCUCGGGCCAAGUCUUCCCAGUCAGGCUUCACUCCUCUGCCACCCUUCGUCCCAUCAUCUGUACACACUGUUGUUGCUACCUUCUGAAUCUACUGAGUCUGACGUGACUACCAGCUUGGGCCAUGCCACCAGCCCCCCUCAUCAGAUCCAGAGGUGAACGGACUUCUGCCACAGCUUCUGCCAUGAUGGACUGUGUCAUCGCAGGCCCAGAACAAUGGGGCCCAUCAACCCUAGAUGGGAACCUCUGGAAAUGUGAGCCAAAAAUAAGCCUUUCCUCUUUUUAAGUUGAUAUAUCUCAGCAAUUUGUCCUACUAACAGAAAACUGACACAGGAGCUGACUAAAUAUGUCAGGUCAUGUUUUUCCUCUGAUCGAAACCUUCCAUGGUACCCACCCACUCAGAGCAAAAGUCAGUUUGCACAAAGCUCCCCAUCUCCCUUCUUCCCCUCUUCCCGGCUACUCUGUGCCCCUUGGGUUAGCAAAAUCCAAGCGGUGGCUUCAUGCUUUUCCUGGAGCUCUCCGUGGUCCUGAACUG